UACGUAUGGAGCAAGCGUUAUCCGGAUUUACUGGGUGUAAAGGGAGCGCAGGCGGUCUGGCAAGUCUGAUGUGAAAGGCCGGGGCUCAACUCCGGGACUGCAUUGGAAACUGUCAGACUGGAGUGUCGGAGAGGUAAGCGGAAUUCCUAGUGUAGCGGUGAAAUGCGUAGAUAUUAGGAGGAACCCCAGUGGCGAAGGCGGCUUACUGGACGAUGACUGACGCUGAGGCUCGAAAGCGUGGGGAGCAAACAGG
Molecule: ribosomal RNA, 253 nt
Filed under: uncultured bacterium
Lineage: Bacteria
Description: partial 16S ribosomal RNA
Rfam family: Bacterial small subunit ribosomal RNA
Source: RNAcentral